This 492-nucleotide ribosomal RNA is filed under the name uncultured bacterium. RNAcentral describes it as "partial 16S ribosomal RNA". It matches the Rfam family "Bacterial small subunit ribosomal RNA", at positions 29 to 507 of the family's 1533-position model. The record is from RNAcentral.
AGUGAACGCUGGCGGUAGGCCUAACACAUGCAAGUCGAACGGCAGCACAGUAAGAGCUUGCUCUUACGGGUGGCGAGUGGCGGACGGGUGAGGAAUACAUCGGAAUCUACUUUUUCGUGGGGGAUAACGUAGGGAAACUUACGCUAAUACCGCAUACGACCUACGGGUGAAAGCAGGGGAUCUUCGGACCUUGCGCGAUUGAAUGAGCCGAUGUCGGAUUAGCUAGUUGGCGGGGUAAAGGCCCACCAAGGCGACGAUCCGUAGCUGGUCUGAGAGGAUGAUGAGCCACACUGGGACUGAGACACGGUCCAGACUCCUACGGGAGGCAGCAGUGGGGAAUAUUGGACAAUGGGCGCAAGCCUGAUCCAGCCAUACCGCGUGGGUGAAGAAGGCCUUCGGGUUGUAAAGCCCUUUUGUUGGGAAAGAAAAGCAGCAGGUUAAUACCCCGCUGUUCUGACGGUACCCAAAGAAUAAGCACCGGCUAACUUCGUG